Molecule: ribosomal RNA, 253 nt
Filed under: uncultured bacterium
Lineage: Bacteria
Description: partial 16S ribosomal RNA
Rfam family: Bacterial small subunit ribosomal RNA
Source: RNAcentral
UACGAAGGGGGCUAGCGUUGUUCGGAAUUACUGGGCGUAAAGCGCGCGCAGGCGGUCUUCCAAGUCAGUGGUGAAAGCCUGGAGCUCAACUCCGGAACUGCCAUUGAAACUGUUAGACUUGAGGAUGAGAGAGGUGAGUGGAAUUCCCAGUGUAGAGGUGAAAUUCGUAGAUAUUGGGAAGAACACCGGUGGCGAAGGCGGCUCACUGGCUCAUUACUGACGCUCAGGCGCGAUAGCGUGGGGAUCAAACAGG